RNAcentral lists this unclassified non-coding RNA (25 nucleotides) under Mus musculus (house mouse). RNAcentral's name for it is "oocyte_clustered_small_RNA2924". The record is from RNAcentral. Lineage: Eukaryota; Metazoa; Chordata; Mammalia; Rodentia; Muridae.
CAGAAGGUAGAGGUCCGUGGAGGGA